This is a long non-coding RNA of Spinacia oleracea (spinach), 1152 nucleotides long. RefSeq lists it as uncharacterized. The transcript is spliced from 5 exons. The record is from RefSeq and is a predicted model, not a curated record. NCBI's taxonomy places the organism in Eukaryota, Viridiplantae, Streptophyta, Magnoliopsida, Caryophyllales, Amaranthaceae.
UUAAUAUAUUUUAACGUAUAGUUAAUUAUAUUUAAAUAGAAUUUAUAAAUUUUAGAAAUAAAUAUAUAAUUAACGUAUAUUUAUUUUAUUUGAUUACAUUCUAAACAUUUUAACGAUUUAUGAAAUCAAAAAUAAUUUUAGAAUUUUAUGUUGAAAAGAAUUUGAAUUACGAAAAUACGUUUUUACUUAGAAAACAAUCAUAAUCGGUUUCGAAUUCAAACAUAAACUCAAUUAUAAUCCUAGCCCAAAUAACAAAGCCCAAAAUAAAUAACCCCAAAUAAACCCAUAACCCUUUCUCCUAUUCAACUUCACGUGAAACAAAAAUAAAAAGAGAAACAAAAGAAAACUCUCAAACCCUUGCUUCACCAUUCACGUGAAAACGCACAAGACUCUCUGCUUCAGCCACCGCCGCUCCUCCUUGCUGCUAUCCCUCACGCCGCCGUUCCUCUCUCCCGCCUUCACUUUCGUUGCUGCAGCCUCCCUCGCCGUCGGACCACCAUCACGCCACUGUUUCGUUCGCAGCAACCACCACCGCGCCACCAGCCGCGCCCAUAACGAUUGUUCGCCGCCGCACCACCAACAACCAUCGCGCGGACGCUGACACCCUCCGCCGUACUCCUCCGACCAGCGUCGCCGCCCACUGUUGCCGCGCCGCCCUGCCUGCCGGCCAGCAGCUUCCCUCUCCUCUCUUUUUUUGGUGGAGAAUUCUCCGUAGGCGACUUUUGAAUUAUUAAAGUGGUCUUGCAGUUUGUUUACACAAGUCUUUAAGGAUCAAUAAGCGUUGACCAUCUACAGGUUUGAAGAUGAUGCAUCAUUGGGAUCGGGAUUAGAGAGCUUGUAGUUCUAUUCGUUUAAUUAAGUGAUUUAAUUUGUUAACUUGGAUUUGAAAUUUGUCGUACCAUUCGUAUUUCCUUAAUUCAGUUAAAUGGGUUUGGACCUAAUAUGUAAUAGAUUAUUUAUGAACCUAAAAGUUAGUUUUAUGUUUUCCGCUGCAAAAUUCUGAAUAAGCCGAUACGUUUUCACACGGGCGAUAAUGCCUUGAUAAUUCUCUACGUUUUAUAUUAAAAGGUUAUUUUAGAAAAGAGGGAAUUGUCGGGGUGUUACAAAGUGGUAUCUAGAAGCUAAGGUUUUAUUUUAAUAAAUUUCUAGGCG